GCCGGACGCGGUGGCGCGCGCCUGUAGUCCCAGCUACUCGGGAGGCUGAGAUGGGAGGAUCGCUUGAGCCCAGGAGUUCUGGGCUGUAGUGCGCUAUGCCGAUCGGGUGUCCGCACUAAGUUCGGCAUCAAUAUGGUGACCUCCCGGGAGCGGGGGACCACCAGGUUGCCUAAGGAGGGGUGAACCGGCCCAGGUCGGAAACGGAGCAGGUCAAAACUCCCGUGCUGAUCAGUAGUGGGAUCGCGCCUGUGAAUAGCCACUGCACUCCAGCCUGGGCAACAUAGCGAGACCCCGUCUCA
Molecule: unclassified non-coding RNA, 299 nt
Organism: Microcebus murinus (gray mouse lemur)
Lineage: Eukaryota; Metazoa; Chordata; Mammalia; Primates; Cheirogaleidae
Rfam family: Metazoan signal recognition particle RNA
About the family: The signal recognition particle (SRP) is a universally conserved ribonucleoprotein. It is involved in the co-translational targeting of proteins to membranes.
Source: Ensembl